This 69-nucleotide transfer RNA is filed under the name Ictidomys tridecemlineatus (thirteen-lined ground squirrel). Its description in RNAcentral is "Spermophilus tridecemlineatus (thirteen-lined ground squirrel) tRNA". It matches the Rfam family "tRNA". From Rfam's summary of the family: Transfer RNA (tRNA) molecules are approximately 80 nucleotides in length. Lineage: Eukaryota; Metazoa; Chordata; Mammalia; Rodentia; Sciuridae. The record is from Rfam by way of RNAcentral.
GGGGGUAUAACUCAAUGGUAGAGUGUUUGCCUAGUUAAGAGGCCCUGGGUUAGACCCCCAGUAUCACCA